AGCAAUAAGAAUAUUCGUAUUCACUUUUGGCUUACAAGACCAAUGCUCUGGUUUAAGCUAUUAUUGC
RNAcentral lists this transfer RNA (67 nucleotides) under Concholepas concholepas. RNAcentral describes it as "tRNA-Thr". RNAcentral also lists the same sequence under 1 other name. The record is from RNAcentral. Lineage: Eukaryota; Metazoa; Mollusca; Gastropoda; Neogastropoda; Muricidae.